Molecule: long non-coding RNA, 837 nt
Filed under: Androctonus crassicauda
Lineage: Eukaryota; Metazoa; Arthropoda; Arachnida; Scorpiones; Buthidae
Source: RNAcentral
GUACAUUGGAUAUAGAACCCUUAUUCCUAGAAUUAGAUUUUCAUUUUGGCUACAGAGGUAAAUGUUCCAAAUCUUGUGAAAGUUGUACUUCAACUCAUUAGAACAUAGCAAGUCAAUGAUUUUAGCAUCCUCCCAUUUUACAGACAAAUCUUUCAACUAGGGUACUUGCAUAACAGCCACAUUUUCCUUAAUGUUUUUUACAUCGUAUUGGUGUUGUUUUAUACAUCUUCUAGGCAUCUUUUAGUUAUUCUUAUUUAAUGUCUUACCAAGCCAGACACUGAAUCAAGUAAUGGUAGCUUGUAUACUUUAUAUUUCUCUGCAUUAGGCCUAUAUUCUUUGUUGUUAUGGAUUGAAUUAUUAGAAAAACUGUAAUGUUCCUAUUUUCAGAAAUGGGAUAAGCAUGAUUCACUAAUACUCUUAUGGCACAUGGGAUAUCAUAGAAUGGUGUUUAGCCAGAGCAUCCUUAUUAGGUGUGAUAACAUAUGCAGAAGUGCACAACAUGCUAUACUUUUUAAGAUACUUGGUGCAGAUCUUUUGGACCAGGCUAUCUAAUUUACUGUCAAGAUAUCCAUUGAAGAAGACCGUCUCCCUGAGAACCUUCAAGUUAUUAAUUGCAUCUUCCUCCAUAAAGUUUAUAAGCUCACCAAAUGAUUGUGGAGAUGCUAGCAUUCUUGUACUUGGCUGUGUCAUUAGAAUAUGUAUGAAUGAGGAUGAGUCUGCUGCAGGGUUUUCUAAUUAUGGAGAUGGAAAAGAAGUACAUAUUUAAAAAUGCACCUCCUUAUCUAAUUGUUUGAGCUAUAAGGUUAACCCAUAGGGUUAUUGCUGGAGGCAAAUUUG